CAAUCCACUGACUCAAAUGUUAGUCUCUGGUAACACCCUCACAGACACACCCAGGAACAAUACUUUGCUUCCUUCAGUCUAAUUAAGCUGACACUCAAUAUUAACCAUCACAGUAAGCAUAUCAGAGACUAUAGGGUCUGCUGUUUGGGACAGGGUGUUCUGAAAGGACCUCUGGUAAGGUGACUUUUGAGCAUAGACCUGAAGAAAAUGGAGGAAUGAGCCCUGUACAUUGUCAGGGAAGAACUGCUCUGGCAGAGGAAAUACAGAUGGAAAGGGCCUGCACUGGAAAAGUGAUCGGCAUGUUAGAGGCACAGUGAGGAGGCCAACACAACCGGUGAGGAGUGAAUCAGGAGAAUAAUAGGGGAUGAAGUCACAGUAUUGGGACCCAGGUCAUAGAGAGCCCUGGAAGGCAUUUUAAGGACUUGGACUUUGAGGAAAAUGAGAAACCAUUGGCCAGUUUGGGGUACAUGGAUGAUAUUUAACCAGAAGAUUCUUUUUCCUCUCUAUCAAGUCAUCACUUUCCACAUUUUAUGGAAAGAAGUUUUAUCUUUUCUUGUUAAGCUAUUGGUGAAUUUUUAACUUUGGGGUUUUGUUUCGGAUAGGUAUUGGGAGAAGGAGAGGCUGUCAACCCAUGCCACUAUGCUAUCUCUAAUUCUGCCAUCCAGACCGAGCAAACGUACUUAAGACCUUUGUGUAAGAUCAGAAAAUCAUAAGACAGCAUUAAAAAGUACUAUACAGGAGGAGAUGGAACAAGAUGGCCAAAUAGAAGCCUCCAGCAAUCAUCUCCCCGAAAGGAAUUGAACAACUAUCAAAACAAAAUUGAACAACUAUCUAAACAAAAAAGUACCUUCAUAAAAAACAAAAAUCAGGACAAUAUCAGAACGGCACAUACAAGUGUCCCCAAGUCAUAUUUGGAAUAAGAUCACUUGGGAACACAAGUCAAAGAAGGACACAGUGUUCUGCCUCUCCUGAGUAAGCAGCAACAACGCACCAUCUUGGAAUCAGGGGACGGCCCUCACCAGACAACUAAAUCUGCAGACACCUUGGACUUCCCAGCCUCCAGAACUGUCUUUCUGGCAACUGUCUAAACAUAAACCAGAGAAGGGCAAGGCAGACUCAGGAAGGACAAAUAGAAGGCUAUUUUCAUAAAUCGGACCACCACCACAUGUGCAGCAUCCCUCUGGGUCUCUUCCAUGACAACCCUGUGGGAAGCCAGGCAAGUGAGAAUCAAUGUAAACAUGAAGUUCAUGCUGCUUACUGUGUCGUGAUAAUGUCCUUGUCUCCCAAUCAGGAGCCUCAUGUCUUCUUGCCAGCCUCUGUGGAACUGUGCUUGGCAGGUCACCUUGUUCUAGCAGAUAGAAACUGAAUCAAUAUGGGAAGAGCCAGAAUUUGGACAAGGUUCACCAAACAUUCACACUGAUGCCAGGUGGGCCAAGAAAAAGGGAAUGUCCUGCCUCUGAGGUAUCUAAAAAUUUUUAUGUUUAAGUCAAGGGUUUUGUGUUGUGAAGGCAGAGCUUUGAAUUUCUAAUAGAAGAAGAAAAGCAGAAUAUACCCAGAAACUCCUGAUUAAAUUUAUGGUCCUCUAAUAAUAUUUUAACUUUAAAGGAGUCAGACGGCAUUCUAGAAAAGAGCCCUUUGGUCAAUGCUUUCCUAUCUAUAGUUUAAUCAACCCUUCCAUAUAUGCACAUAUUAAGCAAAUUCAAAUGACAUUAAAAAUAAGUUACAUUUCUUAUUCUAACCCCUGCCAUUCAUCCCGCUUUCCCCCCAUUGUCACACAUAUGCCCACUUCCACUUCUGCACAUAGGAAGAAAGGGUGAAUAAAUGUCAGAAUCAAGUGGAAAGAUUAAUCAUAGGCUGUUUUUUACAUUGUUUUAUUCUGAGUCAGAAUACGCUUUACAGGACAUAGGCAAGCACUUGAAAUAUAGGACUCAGAACAUAAGAUGCUUCGUAGGACCCAGGCAAGCACAGCAAUUAAAUGGAAUUCCACAUUUUUAAGGAAAGCUUUUUACUUUUCUUCCUCUUUUUGUUUCUCUUUACUUUUGCAGCUCCCUUCAAAAGUCCUUUCUGUGAGACACAUUUUUAACUACCAUAUUGUUCAAUUUUAACAAGAGUUCAGGGUGAGGAAGGUUAUAGCUGAGGCAUUUACAAGGAUUUCCUGUUUGUAGUGGCUGCUUUUUCCUCUUUGGUAAUGUGUUUUUCACAUUUUUUAAAAGCUGCCUGUAUGCAUUAAUAUUACUUAAUCUCCAUCACCUUAAGAAACCAUAUGGGGCAGGGAGAGGAAGACCGGUGCUGGCUCUUUCCCUUUCUCAAUGACUUGAGACACCUUAACCUUGCUUAACUUUUUCUAGAAAAUGAAGAUAGUAACACCUGCUCUGAAUUGUCACAGAAUUAUUGUAAGGCUCAAAUAAAAUCUAUGUAUUUAAGGAAUCAAUAUGUAAUAAAGAUCUUGAAGUGUUAGUAGUCGAUUAUAUCUGAGAUACAUUCGCCAAUAUCCAAGGGGGACAAAGAGAGCUCCAUACCCCGGGGGAAAUGUAGUCCACUGACAAUUUGUCCACACAAUUAGAAUACAAAAUAGCACCCUAUGCCUCAACUUUUUUACAGUCAAAGAAAGCAUGAGGCAUAAAUAGUCCUGAAGGGAUGUGGAGUCUGUUUGCUCUGCAUAUGAUUUGCAUAUGCUCCUCUGAAAAGUCACCGGGCAACCGAGUAAUUGUACAGUAAUGAUGUGGUUAAAAAAACAGAUUGAUCUACUUUUAUUAUUAUUGUUACAAAAUAAUACAUAUAUUUUUAAAAUUCAAACGAUACUAAAAGUUACAUUCCCUGUCCUACUCCCUGUCACUUAUACCAUUUCCCAGUUUCUGUUUUUAGUUCUGAUGGUUUCCUUUUUGCUCUCCACUGUGACUGAUAUACAUUUAUACUUCUAUUUUUUGAUGACUCAAGUUUCGAUAGUAUCUUCUCACUCCCAGUACAAGAUAUUCAGUACACAAAAGAUAUCCUUUUCUCUCCUGAGUUUCAUUUUACGUGUGUAUGAACACACAAACAUGCUAACACACAUGCUCACACAAUCUUUUAGCUCUUGUAUAGGUUCCUGAAUUAAUUGUUCAGUAGUAUACUAAGCCUCUACUUCUGGUUUCCAAUUUAGGCCCUGCAUGUUGUCCAACACUAGCCCAUCAGUGGGAUUGUUUUACAUUCAGGGCAGCUGCACUACUGCCUCCUUGGAGAACAGUGCCUCCUGGAGUUUAGCAGUGCACAGCCCUACAGAUUAAUGCAGGGGCCCUGAUCAUAUUUGUAUUUUGUUCCUGUAUAUGUUUAAUCAAUCUUUAGAAUCUCAUCUAUAGUUGGUUCAUUAUUGCUGGGAAACAAACGGCAUUUACAAAGUCAAAUUUUAGUAAUGUUAUUCAUUAUAUAAAUGAAUAGUAUCUUUCUCUCCAUAUCCUUUACAAAGUCUUCAAAAGUUUCUGAAAUUUCACUAGGAUAAGUUGGUGGAUCUUUUUCUCACCCAUUCAGUACUUUGUGGGCUUUUUCAAAUGGCAGAUUUGUGUCUUUUUUAAAACUCUGAAUAAUUUUCUUCUAUUACAGCUUUGAUAAUUUUCAUCCCUCUGUUUUCCCUACUCACUCUUUCUAGAACUUCUUUUUCCAUUUUUUAGUGAUAAAAUACACAUACAUAAAUACUAUCUUAACCAUUUCUAAGUAUGCAAUUCAGUGGUACUAAAUACAUUCAUAAUGUUAUGCCACAUAACCACCAUCCAUCUCCAUAACUCUUUUCAACUUGUAAAACUGAAACUCUAUACCCAUUAAGCAAUAACUCCUCAUUCCUCCUCCCCCAAACUCCUGGAAACAACUAUUCUACUUUCUGUGUUUAUGAUUUUGAAUACUCUAAGUACUUCAUGUAAAAGGAAUCAUGCAGCAUUUGUGUUUUUGUAAUUGGCUUAUUUCACUUAGCAGGUCCUCAGGGUUCAUCAGUGUUUUAGCAUGAAUCAGAAUUUCCUUCUUUUUAAGGCUGCAUAAUAGUCUACUGUAUGUAUACACCAUAGUUACUUAUCCACACAUCCACUGAUGGAUACUUGAGUUGCUUCCAUGGUUUAGCUACUGUGGAUAAUGCUGCUAUGGUCAUGAGUGUACAAAUAUCUCUUAGGGUUCUAUCAAUUAUUUUGGGUAUAUACUCAGAAGUGGAAUUGCUGAAUCAUAUAAUGAUUCUAUUUUUAAUUUUUUUAGGAAUGGCCAUACUGUUGUCCACAGUGGCUGUAUCACAUAAAUUCCCAUUAAUGGUGCAAAGGUUUCAGUUUCUCCACAUCCUCACCAACAUUUGUUAUUUUCUGUUUUGUCUUGUUGAUAUUUGUCAUUCUAAUGAGCGUGAGGCGUUAUCUCAUGGUAGUUUUAAUUUGCACUUCCCUAAUGAUUAGUGAUGCUAAGCAUCUGUUCACGUACUUAUUGUCCAUUUGUAUAUCUUGUUUGGAGAAAUGUCUAUUCAAGUACUCUGCUCAUUUUUGAAUCAGGUUGUUUGCUUUUUUUGUUGUAAGUUACAGAAGUUUCUAUAUAUUCUAAAUAUUAUAUUCUGAUAAGGGUAUCAGAUAUAUGACUUGAGAAUAUUUCCUCCCAUUCUGUGGUUCACAUUUUUACUCCAUUGCUAGUGUCUUUUGAUGUAUAAAAUUAAUUUUAAUGAGGUCAAUUUGUCUAUUAUUUCCUUUGCUGUCUGUGCCUUUGGUGUCAAGUCCAAGAAGUCAUUGCCAAGUCCAAUGUCAUAAAGCUUUUGCUCUAUGUUUUCUUCUGAGAGUUUUAUUAGUUUAGAUCUUACAUUUAGGUCUUUGAUGCAUUUGCAGUUAAUUUUUGUAUAUAGUGUUGGGUAAGGGCCCAACUUCAUUCUUUUGCAUGGGAAAAUCCAGUUUUCUAAGCACCAUUGUUGAAAAGAGUAUUCUUUCUACAUUGAAUAGUCUUAGCACCUUGUCAAAAAUCACUUGAUCAUAUGUGUUAGGGUUUAUUUCUGGGCUCUGUAUUCUAUUCCAUUAGCCUGUAUGUCUGUCUUUUUACCAGUGCCACGCUGUAUUGAUUUUUGUAGCUUUGUUGUAAGUUUUCCAAUAGAAAACUGUGAUUUUUCCAGCUUUGUUCUUCUUCAAGAUUGUUUUGUCUAUUUGAGGUCCCUUCAGAAUUCCAUUUGAAUUUUUGGAUGAGUUUUUCUAUUUAUGAAAAAAAAAAUCAUUGGAAUUUUGAAAAACAUUGCACUGAAUUUUUACAUUACUUUGGAGAGCAUUGACAUCUUAACAAUAUGAAGUUUUCCAAUCUAUCCAUGAAGAUGGGAUGUGUUUUCAUGUAUUUAUGUAUUCUUUCUUUCAGCAACAUUUUAUAGUUUAGGCUGGGUGUGGUGGCUCACACCUCU
RNAcentral lists this long non-coding RNA (5371 nucleotides) under Homo sapiens (human). RNAcentral describes it as "HSALNT0342904". Lineage: Eukaryota; Metazoa; Chordata; Mammalia; Primates; Hominidae. The record is from RNAcentral.